Molecule: non-coding RNA, 45 nt
Filed under: Trypanosoma brucei brucei
Lineage: Eukaryota; Euglenozoa; Kinetoplastea; Trypanosomatida; Trypanosomatidae
Source: RNAcentral
AUACAUAUAAGGCAAUCGAGGAGUUAUAGUGAUUUGUGAGUGUAU